UUUACAACUCAUAAAUGGUAAAGUCACACUGAAAAAAUUUGAAACUAUAAUCCAAAAACACCUAGGUGACGAAUCAACAAUUAAAUGGGGGUGAAACUAUAAAGAGUAUUGUCAUGUUUAACAUAUUACAAUAAGCUACGUGAAAUAGUUUGAUUUGUUUCUUUGCUUUCAAUUUUUGCUGGAUUUAUUUAAGUGACAUCGGGUCCAUGUAAGUUCUAUGAUUGUAACCAGAUUCACCACAUCUUCUACAUUUCACAAUUUGUGAUCUCUUGCACACUGACUUCUUCCUCGUCUCAAUAUGACAACCAGAACAUCUUUUUUUGAUUUGGGACAAGCAGAGUUAUGCUCUUCACACCGUCUGGUACUCUAUUACCUUCAAGCAUAACCGUCUCCUUGUAGGUAUUCACAUAUGCAUCCGUUAUGUAAUAAUUCGAAUAAAAAUUAUACACAUCAAUCUUCAAUAUUGCAAACACUGCUAAUGCACGUAGACAUGAAAGUUGAUCCACUUAAAAAAUUAUACAACCAUAUGUGCAUUGAGUUAUAUCAAUUAUGUCUGAUGACAAAUCAUAUCAUACUUCAAACAAAGCAUGACUUGAUGGGAAAAUCUGAAAUUAAAUAAACCAG
This 624-nucleotide long non-coding RNA is filed under the name Olea europaea subsp. europaea. Lineage: Eukaryota; Viridiplantae; Streptophyta; Magnoliopsida; Lamiales; Oleaceae. The record is from RNAcentral.